UACGUAGGGUGCUAGCGUUGUCCGGAUUUAUUGGGCGUAAAGGGCUCGUAGGCGGCGUGUUGCGUCGGGAGUGAAAGCCCGCUGCUUAACGGCGGGUUGGCUUCCGGUACGGGCAUCGCUGGAGUGCGGCAGGGGAGACUGGAAUUCCUGGUGUAGCGGUGGAAUGCGCAGAUAUCAGGAGGAACACCGGUGGCGAAGGCGGGUCUCUGGGCCGAUACUGACGCUGAGGAGCGAAAGCGUGGGGAGCGAACAGG
This 254-nucleotide ribosomal RNA is filed under the name uncultured bacterium. RNAcentral's name for it is "partial 16S ribosomal RNA". It matches the Rfam family "Bacterial small subunit ribosomal RNA", at positions 524 to 776 of the family's 1533-position model. The record is from RNAcentral.